Molecule: ribosomal RNA, 709 nt
Filed under: uncultured bacterium
Lineage: Bacteria
Description: bacterial SSU rRNA
Rfam family: Bacterial small subunit ribosomal RNA
Source: RNAcentral
AUAACCGGAAGAAAUUCCGACUAAUACAGCAUAACACUCCUGAGGGACAUCCUUCGGGAGUCAAAGGAGGUAACUCCGGUGACGGAUGGGCAUGCGGCGCAUUAGGUAGUUGGUAGGGUAACGGCCUACCAAGCCGACGAUGCGUAGGGGUUCUGAGAGGAAGGUCCCCCACAUUGGAACUGAGACACGGUCCAAACUCCUACGGGAGGCAGCAGUGAGGAAUAUUGGUCAAUGGCCGGAAGGCUGAACCAGCCAAGUCGCGUGAGGGAAUAAGGCCCUAUGGGUCGUAAACCUCUUUUGUCAGGGAGCAAAGGCGUCCACGUGUGGACGAGAGGAGAGUACCUGAAGAAAAAGCAUCGGCUAACUCCGUGCCAGCAGCCGCGGUAAUACGGAGGAUGCGAGCGUUAUCCGGAUUUAUUGGGUUUAAAGGGUGCGUAGGCGGAGUGUCAAGUCAGCGGUAAAAUUUCGGGGCUCAACCCCGUCGUGCCGUUGAAACUGACACCCUUGAGUGAGUGAGAAGUAAGCGGAAUGCGUGGUGUAGCGGUGAAAUGCAUAGAUAUCACGCAGAACGCCGAUUGCGAAGGCAGCUUACCGGCGCUCAACUGACGCUGAGGCACGAAAGUGCGGGUAUCGAACAGGAUUAGAUACCCUGGUAGUCCGCACAGUAAACGAUGAAUGCUAGAUGUCCGGGGCGAAUGAGUCCUGGGUG